GACGAACGCUGGCGGCGUGCUUAACACAUGCAAGUCGAACGGAAAGGCCCUGCUUUUGUGGGGUGCUCGAGUGGCGAACGGGUGAGUAACACGUGAGUAACCUGCCCUUGACUUUGGGAUAACUUCAGGAAACUGGGGCUAAUACCGGAUAGGAGCUCCUGCUGCAUGGUGGGGGUUGGAAAGUUUCGGCGGGUGGGGAUGGACUCGCGGCUUAUCAGCUUGUUGGUGGGGUAGUGGCUUACCAAGGCUUUGACGGGUAGCCGGCCUGAGAGGGUGACCGGCCUCAUUGGGACUGCGAUACGGCCCAGACUCCUACGGGAGGCAGCAGUGGGGAAUAUUGCACAAUGGGCGGAAGCCUGAUGCAGCAACGCCGCGUGCGGGAUGACGGCCUUCGGGUUGUAAACCGCUUUCGCCUGUGACGAAGCGUGAGUGACGGUAAUGGGUAAAGAAGCACCGGCUAACUACGUG
This 468-nucleotide ribosomal RNA is filed under the name uncultured bacterium. RNAcentral describes it as "partial 16S ribosomal RNA". It matches the Rfam family "Bacterial small subunit ribosomal RNA", at positions 28 to 507 of the family's 1533-position model. The record is from RNAcentral.